Molecule: long non-coding RNA, 3143 nt
Organism: Passer montanus (Eurasian tree sparrow)
Lineage: Eukaryota; Metazoa; Chordata; Aves; Passeriformes; Passeridae
Exons: 5
Source: RefSeq, a predicted model, not a curated record
AAGACGUGCCGUCUGCGCCGGGAGUUGUGAGCCCGAGCCGUGAGCUCCUCAACUCCGCGGGGGCCGUGCCAGGAGACCCGGGGCGCACAGUCCUCUGCGAGGAGGUGUGCAAAUAGACAGUUUAUAAUCCUGACAACAAUGGUGCAGAAUAUGAGAGGAAGAUUUGUCAGGCAGAGAACAAAAUUGAUCGUGUGGACACAGUGGUCAGUAAAAUUUCAAAUGGUAAGUAAAUGUCAACCAUGAAUCAAUAAAGAUUUCCUUCAAUUAGUCAUUAUUUUCCUAUUUACACUGUUAGUAUGUGUUUCAGUGCUGUCAACCCUUAACUGUGUGGGCAGGUUUGGUGCCUGGUCCUGACAGUGUCACUGACUUGGACCUCCUGGCCACUUUCGGUGCUGCUGAAUCAGCAAAGCACCCAGUGUUUGUUUCAGCUGGAGAAGGGAGCACUGCUGGGGCCCUCUGAGUGUAACCACUUUCAGUGUCACAGGGAGUUGUUUUCGAUUAGAAAAUAGAAAAUGUAAAGUACACACUAAUCAGAUUGCAAAUAAUUCUUCCAAGUGGUUGGUGGUACAAUGAAGAAACCUUAUGGUUAACUACUCAGAAGAACGAAAUUAAUAAAUACUUAAUUGCAUGGUGGCAGGGUGGGGGUAAACCAAUGAAAGGGACCUGAAGGAUUACACGAUGGUCUUGAUAGCUGCAGCCUCUGGAGAGGGUUCUCUUCAAACAAGAAUUUGAAGGAGCUGGAGGAUCUCUUCAAACAAGAUGCUGCAGAGGCUCCACUUGUUCCUCCCAGGAAUGACUGCAUGAUAAGGUAGGCACCAGCACUUGCCUCAAUAGUGCUGUGUAGAAAAGGCGUUUGACAUGAUUUCCACUAGGCCUCAGCAGUCACCUUGGCCUUUCACAUUUCAAACCGUGUUUUGUUUCUUCAGGCUGAGCUGAGCAUCUCUUGAAAGCAGGAUUAGGCUCCAAGAAAACACGAAGAAACACUGUUCUGUUCCUGCAGAUGUCAGAAGGGCUGUCAUGCAGCCGCUGAAGCACAAGAAUGACCGAGGUGGAGGCAGGGCUGGCACGACAUUCACCAAAACCCUUCGCUGGAGCGGGAGGAGCCGCUGCCGCCGGCGAGACCCGAGGCUGGGUACCUGCGCUGGGGGAGCCCGGGACCCGCCCGGGGGCGUGGCUCUGCUGGCUCCGGCUCUGCGGAGCCGCCAUGCCCGGUGUCGGGCGGGUCGGGCCGGCCGCUCCGCCGAGGGUCCCGGCUGGGCCGCCGGGCCGGGGCUCCGCCUUCGCGUAAAAAGGAGGGGGAAAGCUCCCGCCUGCGCGGACCCGCCAAGGCACGGACGGGGUUCGAACCCGUGAUCUUCGGUUUACGAGACCGACGCCUUACCACUUGGCCACCGCGCCUGCGUUAAGGGCUCUUCCUGACGCCCUUCUAUCGCUGGCGCCACUCCCGCCGCCCGCCCACGGCCCGCCCUCGCGCGCGCCUGGGCUGCCACCUGCCGGGGCGCGCGGCCCUGAGGCGCUGAGGGCGCGGCUGAGGGGGCGGAACGGGAGCAGGGACAGACGGAGCGGGACUGCCGCCGCUCCCGCUCUCUUCUGGCUCUCGCUCUCCCUUCGUCUCCCUCUGUGCUGCCAGGAGCGUCCCCUCCGGCUAUGGAGGCGUUCUGUGGGCAGAGCCCUCUGCAGCGUCCGCCCCGGGGCUGUGAGGGUGCGGUACCGGGAGACGGCACUCGAGAGGCUGCUUCACAGCGGGCCAGCACGGCUUGGAGAGGGAGAAAAAAACGGGAUUAAAAUUUUCCUCCUCCAAGAAGAGAAGCAGGAAUGCAAAACGUUUGGAUAACUAAAUGUCCCUGUGGGCAGAACUGAUGGCCUGGCAAUCUGAAUGCUUGCUGGCAUUUAUCUGCCAGUCUUCUUCAUCACAUGCCCUCAUCUGGACUAUGGAAAGCUGGGAAAUGAGAAUAGCACUGUUGGAUUCUGCUUUUGUCUUGUCAGUGUAAACACUGCAGCAUUUCAAAGUGUGAUGCCUCACACAUGAGAUGGAGGUGUUUCUUUAGGAAAGACUUUGGUGUCUGUUUCCAUGUGCAAAACAAGGCCUUUCAACAUGUUCCUGACUCUUCUGAGAUACAUACAGGGGAACAAUUCGAUUCAUGUAGAUUUGGUGCAAUUGAGUUUUAUAUAGACUUGCUAUGGCAUGCUGAGGAGCAUUCCAGCUCCUCAGUUGCAGCUACUUGAGCUUUGACUUUGUCUUAGCUGUAUGUAAGAAUGUUUCUGUUCGCCAUUUUAGUUUCUAAUCCACAGCACUGGUCUUGGAAGGGGUUCAAGAAUGAUGGCAGAAUGGCCCUGCAGUCCUAUUUCUGCACCGAAGACUGGAGACUCACAGGUGACCUUGCAAUUUGCUUUGAAAAAGAAAAAAAUACUCUGAUGUUUAGAAUACAGCUGAUCUUCCAGUUGCCUAGAACCAGUCCCUCUGCCCUGACAUUCACUCCUGUCGAGAUCAUUCCAUUAAUUGAAUCACUUGGCACCACAACAUUUCUCACCAUUGUAAUGCCCUCUUAGGCUACUAAGCCUAAUUAUGGGAGAAAGCCUCCUUCUUUUAUUGCUGAGCUACUCUGUUUAUUACUUUAGUUGUAUCAGUGCCUUUCUGAUAGCUCCCUUAUUUUAACUGACAUAAAGUUGUUAUUCAUUAAUGUCUCCGUGUAGUUCAUGCACACUUUUCCCAGUAAUGUAUCUUUGCUGUUUAUAGUUGAUAAAACAUGGUUAUAUUUAAUAAAAUUUUACUGUCAACAUGCUUUAACUCUUACCUUAUUCUAUUCUUUCUAUAAUUUCAAUAAACAUGUUAAGGACUUGCUCAACUUUUCCAAUUUUGAUGAAGUAUGUCUGUGCCAACCUAAGGUGUUAUUUUAAUAAUUUGAAUGCUGUUCAGAGAUUAUUGUAAAGGUCUGCCUGAGCUAAUUUGCAAGCAUGAAGUUCCACAGAAGGUUGACCAUAUGUGUUUUGGGAAGUGUUUUCUUUAAUAAGGAACUAAGCAAACUUCCAUAAAUUUAGCUUCAUUCAGGCUAGAUAGAUUCUAACUCCUGUUCCUAAAAGAAUUCUCAUUUGAUUAUAGCAGCGCGUUUUUAUUACCAGGUUUAAAAUCUUUACAUCACACA